UUCAAUUCAUUUUUAUUUAUAUGUAAAUUUGUAUUUGAUAAAUUUUAUUUUAAAUGUUCAAUUAUACAUGUACAUGACAUACAACUUUACAUGGAGUAGGACAAUUUAAAUCUGCAAAAGCCUUUAAUUGGCUAUCCAUGCAACAUGCUAGACACAAUGUUAAGUUUCUGAGGAACUUCUUUGAAAGUGGACAUGGGAAAGGAGAGCACGAUGGAGCAGGAGCAUGUGUGUAGCGUGCACUUCGCCAACAUGAACUUGCAUGUAAUAGCAUAGAGAAUUCAAACAAAAUUGUUGAAUGGUGUCAAAGUUAUUUUGCUAGUUGGGACACGCCAUACAACAAACGUUAUUUUUGGGAAGUGAAAGGUAUUGAUCGAUCUAAUCUUUACAAUUGUCAAACAAUUGUUGGUAUUAGAAGUUUACAUCAAGUGAUGACUACAGGACACCACAAGCCUCCAUUGAUUCAAGUAAGAGAAAAAUCAUGCUUUUGUGCUGACUGUGUUGAGGACAAUCCAAUGAAUCAAUGCGAGAAUAUUGCAAAUGGAUAUGUCUCACAAUGUGAUAUGAAAGAGUUAAUCAGAAUGUCUCCUUAUGAAGAUGAUAAAAAUGGCAUAAACAUUCAUGAUCCUAAAUAUUCAACUGAUUAUGAACGUGUUUCUGAUUUAGUCAUUACA
Molecule: long non-coding RNA, 671 nt
Organism: Cryptomeria japonica (Japanese cedar)
Lineage: Eukaryota; Viridiplantae; Streptophyta; Pinopsida; Cupressales; Cupressaceae
Exons: 3
Source: RefSeq, a predicted model, not a curated record